Long non-coding RNA from Oncorhynchus tshawytscha (Chinook salmon), 857 nucleotides. The record is from Ensembl. NCBI's taxonomy places the organism in Eukaryota, Metazoa, Chordata, Actinopteri, Salmoniformes, Salmonidae.
UUCGUUUGCUUCCAUUGAGUGAGUUGAUCCAGCACCUUGCCGCUGUCCACUGACUGAAUCCUCUACCUGAUCGGCUUUGCACUGCAUUCUUCUCAGUUUUGUGUCUCCAAGCAAAAUGUCGGGUGGAAUGUGCAAACUCUUGGUAUCAAGAUGCUGUUGCCACACCUUCCUUAAGUCUGGUGCCAGAGCCAAGUGCACAACCCUGGCCCUGUGAGGACAACCCCAGUGACUAUGGGACAGAGUGUCUCUCAUUAUACAGUGAUAACUUCAGCUCGGCUCAACAGACUGAACCUGCAGCAUACAGUGAACCCUGCAACUACACUCAUCAACAGCCCUGGUCCCUUGGACAUAUAUUGCACAAGGACUAUAAGGAAGGACAGGCCUCCUGCUCCUCAUUAGAGACUUGGACUCCGGCCUGCACACCAGAGAAAAUUAAUCCUUUGGACACCCAUCAUCUCCCCUCCUCACUACAAGAAUACUCAGACCCUGUGGAUCCCACUUACAUAUCGCUUAAUACAAAUAUCACUCAAUAUGAUACCUCUGUGUACUCAAACCCUACUGAAUCGAGCUCUACAAUACAGUGGAUGCCCUGACCUAAGUAGCACAGGUUAUUAUGGGUCAACUUUGGACAACUGUUAUUAUAAAUGGCAAAUGUCAAGCAUGAGUCAUGUUUUAAAUACAGAGUUUCUGGAGGGUGGCGGGGAGAUGGUGGCUGGCUGGGCGCACUCUGUUCUGUGCCCCAUCUGGAGACCAACCUGAGGUUUAGGGCUGGCAGGGUCUACCAGCUGUGUGUGUGAGUGUAUGAGAGAGAGAAAGUGAGAUAAGGAACUUUUUUUUAUAGAUUGCCAUAAUUAUUU